CAGAAACCAUUUAGUUGUUCUGAGUGUGGCAAAAGAUUUAGGAAAGAGGGCAAUCUGAAUACACACAUGAUAAUUCAUACGGGGCAGAAACCAUUUGUUUGUUAUGAAUGUGAUAAAAGAUUUGGACAAAAGGGCAAUCUGAAGACACACAUGACAAUUCAUACUGGGCAGAAACCAUUUGUGUGUUCUGAGUGUGGUAAAAGAUUUAGACAAAAGGGCAAUCUGAAUAUACACAAGCAAUUUCAUGCAGGACAGAAACCAUUUGGUUGUUCUGAGUGUGUUAAAAGAUUUGGAAACAAAGGCCAUUUGAACAGACACAUGCUUGUUCAUACAG
This is a long non-coding RNA of Thalassophryne amazonica, 334 nucleotides long. RefSeq lists it as uncharacterized. The transcript is spliced from 2 exons. The record is from RefSeq and is a predicted model, not a curated record. NCBI's taxonomy places the organism in Eukaryota, Metazoa, Chordata, Actinopteri, Batrachoidiformes, Batrachoididae.